RNAcentral lists this long non-coding RNA (226 nucleotides) under Jatropha curcas. RNAcentral's name for it is "long non-coding RNA (JCUR_LNC002000)". The record is from RNAcentral. Lineage: Eukaryota; Viridiplantae; Streptophyta; Magnoliopsida; Malpighiales; Euphorbiaceae.
CGAUCGGUAGAGACUUUAACAUUGUUGAUGGCCUCAUCAGCUUUCUGGGAAGAUAAAGUGAUUACUUCGAACUUAAGGAUAACAAGUGAAAAUAAGCCUUCUCUAUUGAUUCAAAAUGAAUACUAGUCUGCAUCAUAGUUUCACCCUUUAAAAUAAUGUUGCCAGGUUGCCAAGUUCUAGUGAUUUCUGGAUUUGUGAGUGGAUCCAAAUUAAAUUUCUAUUUUCA